This 489-nucleotide ribosomal RNA is filed under the name uncultured bacterium. RNAcentral's name for it is "partial 16S ribosomal RNA". It matches the Rfam family "Bacterial small subunit ribosomal RNA", at positions 29 to 507 of the family's 1533-position model. The record is from RNAcentral.
AUGAACGCUAGCGAUAGGCUUAACACAUGCAAGUCGAGGGGCAGCAUGGUCUUAGCUUGCUAAGACUGAUGGCGACCGGCGCACGGGUGCGUAACGCGUAUGCAACUUGCCUCACAGAGGGGGAUAACCCGUCGAAAGACGGACUAAUACCGCGUACACUCCAUCUUGGGCAUCCAAGGUAGAGGAAAUGAAAUUCGCUGUGAGAUAGGCAUGCGUCCCAUUAGCUAGUUGGUGAGGUAACGGCUCACCAAGGCGACGAUGGGUAGGGGAACUGAGAGGUUGAACCCCCACACUGGUACUGAGACACGGACCAGACUCCUACGGGAGGCAGCAGUGAGGAAUAUUGGUCAAUGGGCGAGAGCCUGAACCAGCCAAGUCGCGUGAAGGAUGACUGUCUUAUGGAUUGUAAACUUCUUUUAUACGGGAAUAACAAGAGCCACGUGUGACUCCCUGCAUGUACCGUAUGAAUAAGCAUCGGCUAACUCCGUG